GUUCCUACGGGGGGCAGCAGUGGGGAAUAUUGCACAAUGGGGGGAACCCUGAUGCAGCGACGCCGCGUGGGUGAAGGAGUAUUUCGGUAUGUAAAGCCCUAUCAGCAGGGAAGAACAAUGACGGUACCUGACUAAGAAGCACCGGCUAAAUACGUGCCAGCAGCCGCGGUAAUACGUAUGGUGCAAGCGUUAUCCGGAUUUACUGGGUGUAAAGGGAGCGCAGGCGGCACGGCAAGCCUGAUGUGAAAGCCCGCGGCCCAACCGCGGGACUGCAUUGGGAACUACCGGGCUGGAGUGCCGGCGAG
Molecule: ribosomal RNA, 305 nt
Filed under: uncultured bacterium
Lineage: Bacteria
Description: bacterial SSU rRNA
Rfam family: Bacterial small subunit ribosomal RNA
Source: RNAcentral